RNAcentral lists this long non-coding RNA (326 nucleotides) under Homo sapiens (human). RNAcentral describes it as "HSALNT0297437". Lineage: Eukaryota; Metazoa; Chordata; Mammalia; Primates; Hominidae. The record is from RNAcentral.
AGGCUUCCGGAGCAGUCAGCUGGAGCGCCCUGGCACUAAGUGCGUUCCUCUGGCAAAGAAGAAAAUAAUUUCUGUCCCUCGCCAUCUGCUGCAUGGGAAGAUGGGAAUGGAGUGAGCACGGUAUGAGGGGAUCAGGAACGUCAAGGGGCUGUGUCCAGCUGCCCAAACCAUCCAAGAGGCCGGCACCGUGCUGAGGACAGUGGCGGGGACAGGAGCCAAGGUUCAUCAUCGUACCCCAAGGCCUGGGCAAGACAGAUGCUGCGUCCUGCAAUGGCCCCACCAUGGACCCUCGUCAUCCAACCGAAGUCGCCCCCUUGCCUGGCUUU